CUACGGGAGGCAGCAGUAGGGAAUAUUGCGCAAUGGAGGAAACUCUGACGCAGCGACGCCGCGUGAGCGAUGAAGGCCUUCGGGUCGUAAAGCUCUGUUGCAAGGGAAAAAGCAAGUGAUUGUACCUUGCGAGGAAGGAUCGGCUAACUUCGUGCCAGCAGCCGCGGUAAGACGAGGGAUCCUAGCGUUGUUCGGAAUCAUUGGGCGUAAAGCGGGUGUAGGUGGCUUUGUAAGUCGAGUGUGAAAGCCCUGGGCUCAACCCAGGAAGUGCAUUCGAUACUGCGAAGCUUGAGUGUCGGAGAGGUUACUAGAAUACCUGGUGUAGUGGUGAAAUACGUAGAUAUCAGGUGGAAUACCGGAGGCGAAGGCGGGUAACUGGCCGAACACUGACACUGAGAUCCGAGAGCGUGGGGAUCAAACAGGAUUAGAAACCCUAGUAGUCC
Molecule: ribosomal RNA, 443 nt
Filed under: uncultured bacterium
Lineage: Bacteria
Description: bacterial SSU rRNA
Rfam family: Bacterial small subunit ribosomal RNA
Source: RNAcentral